GAUGAACGCUGGCGGCGUGCCUAAUACAUGCAAGUCGAGCGAACGGACGAGAAGCUUGCUUUUCUGAUGUUAGCGGCGGACGGGUGAGUAACACGUGGAUAACCUACCUAUAAGACUGGGGUAACUUCGGGAAACCGGAGCUAAUACCGGAUAAUAUUUUGAACCGCAUGGUUCAAAAGUGAAAGACGGUCUUGCUGUCACUUAUAGAUGGAACCGCGCUGCAUUAGCUAGUUGGUAAGGUAACGGCUUACCAAGGCAACGAUGCAUAGCCGACCUGAGAGGGUGAUCGGCCACACUGGAACUGAGACACGGUCCAGACUCCUACGGGAGGCAGCAGUAGGGAAUCUUCCGCAAUGGGCGAAAGCCUGACGGAGCAACGCCGCGUGAGUGAUGAAGGUCUUCGGAUCGUAAAACUCUGUUAUUAGGGAAGAACAUAUGUGUAAGUAACUGUGCACAUCUUGACGGUACCUAAUCAGAAAGCCACGGCUAACUACGUG
Molecule: ribosomal RNA, 497 nt
Filed under: uncultured bacterium
Lineage: Bacteria
Description: partial 16S ribosomal RNA
Rfam family: Bacterial small subunit ribosomal RNA
Source: RNAcentral